UACGUAGGGUGCAAGCGUUGUCCGGAAUUAUUGGGCGUAAAGAGCUCGUAGGCGGUUUGUCGCGUCUGCUGUGAAAACUGGAGGCUCAACCUCCAGCCUGCAGUGGGUACGGGCAGACUAGAGUGCGGUAGGGGAGAUUGGAAUUCCUGGUGUAGCGGUGGAAUGCGCAGAUAUCAGGAGGAACACCGAUGGCGAAGGCAGAUCUCUGGGCCGUAACUGACGCUGAGGAGCGAAAGCCAGGGGAGCAAACGGG
RNAcentral lists this ribosomal RNA (253 nucleotides) under uncultured bacterium. Its description in RNAcentral is "partial 16S ribosomal RNA". It matches the Rfam family "Bacterial small subunit ribosomal RNA", at positions 524 to 776 of the family's 1533-position model. The record is from RNAcentral.